This is a long non-coding RNA of Gorilla gorilla gorilla (western lowland gorilla), 7804 nucleotides long. RefSeq lists it as uncharacterized. Lineage: Eukaryota; Metazoa; Chordata; Mammalia; Primates; Hominidae. The record is from RefSeq and is a predicted model, not a curated record. The transcript has 4 exons.
UCUUUGUCUCUCGCUGGCGUUGGCACAGGAACUUGGGAUCCAUCUCCUCUUUCGCCUCCUCCACCUUGGGAGCCCCGGGCUACUCUCUCACAGACCCUGUUGCCCUGUGAUCUGUAGGUCCUUGGGGACCCACAGUUAAGAUACCAGGACAUCCUGGAAGCUGGGAAACGAUUUCUUCCAGACCAUGGCUGGAGAAGUAAAGAAGGUGUGUUUUGCCUGAUUCAGGGACUAUAGAGAGAACCAAGUUCUGCAGGCCUGUCACCUAAGUCUCAGAUAUGUAUUCAUUUCCUACCACCGUAGUGGAAGAGAGACUAUCCCUGUCUUUACACCUGGUAGCAUUUCCAAAAGUAAGCUGUGAGAUUCUGCUUGAAAUCACCUCUCAAACAAAUAAAAAACAGACCUGGGAGACAUGCUACACUCAUUCUGCUGAAGAAAUAGUAUAUUUUGCAGACCCAGGCUGGCUUCUCCUUCUGUUCCUGGUUCACCCAGUGCAGUGUGUGCUCAUUGCAUCCUGUGCACGCGUCACUGUGCUGUGUGCUCCUGCCUAGGUAAGCAUCAUUCUUCGGGGAGAACAUUUCUGAAAACAAAGCUGCAUUCCAAAAAGUUAAAACCAUGCUAGUUACUGUACUGAGGUAAAAAUUAAAAGACCUAGGGGACUCAUCCAAAAGUUAAAACAUAAAUAAAUAACUUGGAACAUUAAUAUACACCUGAUGAUGUCCUGAGUGAACACGCCCCACUUUAAAACAAAACAAAACAUUGCUAUUAUUCUAAAAUAUUAAUUUAGGAUAUUUAUGCAAAUAUGUACUAUUUAAAUAUUUAUUGAUGAAUAACAUGCAUACAGCAAUAUAGGAACAAAAUAUUUAUGGAAUGCUUGAUGAAUUAUUACUAAAUAAAUACACUUGUAUAUGUAAGAAUCAGAUUUGCUCAUGCCCUUGACACUUUCUCCUUCCCAAAGGUAACCAAGACCUUAAGAGCUAAGUGUAGAUAAACUUUGUCAUUUUCUACAAGUGUUUUAUUACAGAACAUUAAAAACGUAUACACAAUACAAAAAAAGGAUAGCAGACCACUCAUCCAGCUUUAACAGCUACUAGUCAUGUGUCAUUUUUGUUUCACCUAUACUUCCAGCCAUUCCCACCCCAAUUUCAUUACUUUUUAGGCUUUUUGGAUAAAAUGUAUAUUCAUUGCAAGGUACAAUGUGAACUGCAAAUAGUAGAGAGAUGUGGUUUCACCAUGUUGGCCAGGCUAGUCUUGAACUCCUGUCCUCAGGUGAUCCAACCGCUUCGGCUUCCCAAAGUACUGGGAUUACAGGCAUGAGCCAAUAUACUCGGCCUGAGAAUUCAUAUUUCUAACAAAGUACAAAUCCAUAGGGCACAUGACAACUGCAAUGUCUAUCUACAGUAAAUGCAGUUUGAUGAAUAAAAUGAAAGGCAAUUGACCUAAGGUGAAAAAAAACCCAAAAAAGUAUCAAAGCAUGGGUACUAUGUGCUAUCUGUAACAGCAUUUGGUUAAGAAUAACAAACAAACCAGUUUUAUCAUUUUAAUAGCCGAAAUUGGCAAAAUUUCUACUUUUUCUUUCAUAAGAAUGCUCUUUGCAAGAAAAAAUUUUCAUACAGUGAGAGCAAAAAUGGCAACCAUUUGCAAGUAAAUGUCUUAUGAAAUUAAGUAGCAGAUAUCAAGCUCAUGACCUUCAGAUAGUUACCCCUAACUCAAUCAUUUACAUAGCAAGUGCAGAUAAUUUUCAUAGCUCCCUAUUAAAAUUAUAUUUGAAUGCCCUUACGAAUUGUGACUGUUUUUAAAUAAAGUUGACCAACUAAAAUUUUGUAUAUGACAUAUGAUAAAUUCCCCUUCAAGUCACCUCACAUUUACUUAAUUUUAUUAGGCAGUGUUUAUCUACCACCCAAUAAUACUUGAGGAUUCUCCCUCCAUUUGCACAGGCAUCAUACCUGGGGAAACAGGGAUUCACAAGACCCAGGCUGUUCCCUACAUAUGUUUCCUCCUCCGACAUCAGUUCAUCAGUCAAUCAAGUCAUGUGAGAGUGGAGGCCAUGUAUUCCCUCUUAUUCUUGGGCACUCUCCUCCAAGGAGGAAAAUGUCAGGAGGUCCUGUUAGAGGAUGCACUCUGAGAGGCCAGGCUCCCUAAGGUGUGAGAGUUCUAACCAGCAGGUGUAGACUUUUCAGGAGUGAGGAAUGAGGCAGGCAAUCCAAACCUGGAGCUUCAUCACUUUUUGUUUCAUCUCAAGACAAUUCUGAGGGGCUCUUUUGGAACGUGUCUGGAAGGUGAACGUUGAAGAAGAGUGUGGGCUUUGAUGUGACUCAGAUGAGAUCUUUCACGGGGAGGAAGGAAUUCAAUGCCCAGAAUCUGGGCUGGUGUCUUUGAGGUCAGUAGGUUGCGUCUUUGUAUCCAAGUCCAUUGUUACUAGGUUGGAGGCUGGAGAUUCUAAAUGGCUUCCAGACCGCCUCUCUGAUUCUCUUUGGGAGAUGGGGUCUCAAAAAGACAAUGUCAGUAUUUUUGGGAAAUUCUAGAAAAUCUGCUUGGAAACGUGGGAAGAGCUCUUGCCUAGUGCCUAAAUGCUCAACGUGCAGCUGUAGCCACGUAGAUGCUUGGUAGGUAUAGAGCUGGGUUUGCAUUUAUAUCAGCAAAACCUAUGUCAGAGUUGAAGAAGUAGUCAGGAAAAAGUGUCUUGGUCGCAGGCCAGGGAACAUCUUAAAAGCAAACUUCUAGCCUGCUGACUCUUGGCAAUGAGUGUUGGAUCCUGGCUAAAGUGCCUUGAAUGCAGCAUGAGGCCAAUCCAUGAAUCCAACUUCUAAUGCAGAAAUGUUAAUAUUUUUUCAGUUUGAAUCAAUCAUGGUGAAACUAUCAUGCUAUUGGUUUGCUUACUUUUUAUUAUUUCAUAUAAAAUCUAAGACAAAAUACAUUAAAUGCUUAUUGACAUAUGUAUUUAUUCUUCAUCUGGCUGAUAAUAUCUGCCUAAUUUUAAACUUUCUUCCAUUUUGUAGGUUUCAACUUAUUUUAUUGUAAGAUACUGUUAAAUCUAAUACAGGCAUUGUCACUUUUACAUAUAAUUUUAUUUUAUUUCAUAUAUUUCCUAUUGGCUUUUUACAUUUAAAUUAUCUACCACUUCAUCAUAUAAAAAGCUUCAAUUAUAUUUAAACAGUAAGUCUUUGGAUUUUUUUGUCUUGUAAUUUCCAUAUUACAUAAUAAUGAGAUAAACGUUAAUGUUUUCAGGGUAUUUUAAAUUUUAGAUAAUUACUCAUUGUAUUCAUGUGAAAUUUGUUUUUACUGCAUGUGUGGGUUGGAGGACUGUUUUCACUUCUGAUUCAUCUUUACUCUUAUCUCAUCAGAGCUCAUACCUCUUGUAGUUGGGGGAUUGCAGUUUAUCAUUCCAAUAAAUGGGGCAAAUUCAAUAAUAACAUAAUACAAAUGAGUUUGAAUGCAGGACAGGUCUUCAAAGCAUACACAACAUGGGCCUACAUAUGUACAACAAUAAUAAUUUAUAAGUUACAGUUUGGAUGGAAAGUAAAAGUACAGAAAAUUUGUUAAAGUAAAUUAAAAUGGAGAUCAUGUCUCAAUAAUCUCUGAGCAGACAAAAUCAGUUAGGUCUCAUAAGUGAUCUCAACCUUGCUUGAUUUGCAAAUACAAACAAAACUUAAAUUAUUUCUUGUAGCUGCAUAUUUAGAAAAGAGAAAUGAAGCUCAACCAGUCAGGAGUAGCCAACAACCUUAUAUAAAUAGAAACUGUCCAACAAGGUAAACAGGCGAACAAAAAACAAUUAAAAAAGUUGUGCUACCACCAAUCAAAUGAUUUCUUUGUUUCUACAUUUUUCAAAUAAAUACUUGCUUCUUACACUGUCAAUGAAGCACUCAAUAUCUUUCCAUCUGAUAUUUUAUAAUUUAUCAAUUUCUCUUACUCAAAUAAACACUUUGCAAUUUCAUUGUCUCUUAAAUUACUUUUUAGCAGAAUAAGCUAGGAAUAAAUAUUACAAAAAUGUGUACGGAAUAUGGAAAAAACAUAGAAAGUUUAUGAAAUAUAUGAAUGUAGACAUAAGCAAAUAGACAAUUUGUAUCAUAUUCUUAGUCAGCAAAACUCAAUAUUAUCAACAUCAAUUGUCCUUAAAGUUAUUUAUAAACUCAAUUUUGUUCCUGUAUUGAUACCAUUAAAUAUUGCAAGUACACGUUACUAUAAAAUAUUAUAUAGAUGAAAACGCAAACAAGAAUAGACAAGAAAACUCUGAAAAAAAAAAAACACUGGCAAGCCCUGUGAAAAAUCUUGAUUGAUUAAAAAGCUCAUAGAUCACUGAAACUAAAAAUUCAGAAAUAAACCAAAGUGCCUAAGAAAGUGUCAUACUGCAUCUUGGCUGCUAUAACAAAAUACCUUAGACUGGGUAAAGGAUAAAUAAGAGAAAUGUAUUUUUCACAGUUAUGGAGGCUGGAAAGUGCAAGAUCAAGGCAGCAGCAAAUUUAGUAUAUUGUGAGAGCCCUGUUCCCCAUAGAUGGUACCAUCUCGCACACGGGACAAGGGCAUUCCCUUCAACUUCCUUUGAAAGAGCACUGAUUCCAUUCAUGAAGAUGAAGAACUCUUGGCUUCACCACUUUCCCAAAGUCCUCACGCCUAAAAUUAUACACAUAGGAAUUUGAAAGGGGACAUAAACAUUCAGGCCAUAGCAAUAAAAACUACAUGGGUGAUGGCAUCAUUUAUACAUGAGGUGUAAAAAUGUGAUGUUCUUAACACAAAGGAAAUAAAUGAUUUAUUCUUCAUGGCAUAUACCAAAAUAAAGGUCCAAUGGAAAUAUUUUUUAUAAAGAUAAAUCUAUAUGGCAAAAAAUUAAGUGUUGCUAAGGUUAACCCUACAGGUUGCAUCAGGAUUUUCAAGGUUUCCAGGGAUGAGCAAGGCCCUGGAGUUUCCUCCUGUGACAUUUUCCUGGAAGUUGCUCAUGCUGUUAUUCCAUUUGAAAGUAGAUAAUAUUGUUUGUUUCUCUUCCAAUAUUUACUAAAUUCAAAAUAAUAUAGGGCUCUUUACGCAUAAUUCUCAAACAAUCAUUCAGUCAGUGGGGCUCUGCUGAGGAAGAGCACAGACACAUCCACACAAGUAUAAUGUUCCUCAAAUAGAGGACUUCUCCUUGUGCUGGAGCCACCUAUGUUGCACUCGAUCAGAGGCUUUCCCAGGCAAGCAUUUCUCUGCAGCCCUACCACAGUCUUAACCCUGAAAAUCCGACUCAGAAGGUGACGGAUGAACACCCACCCUAGCAUUCUAAUCUAAUGGAUCCUCUCUUAACAAUCCCUUUCAGGGAUCUGGGAUCUUUCCUGGAUUCUUCGACCACACACAGCUAGGCUCAAAAAUUUGGACAGAAACUUUGAUCCUCAUUGGCCCUCCUGCCCUGUCCUACCAGCUUCUCUAGAAGUAUGCUUCUCUAAUUGUUCCUGAGAGACUCUAUCUAAGGGUAUCAACCUGUGCCAAUAUAAUUGAUCUCAUAAAGUGAGAAGGGAAAUAGGCAAGAGUCCAGCUAGCCUAGAAGCAGUGUCUAGGGUUCCUUACCUGAUUUAUGUCUCUGAUUUACCUAAAUAUUGACAAAUACAGAUUCACCUCUAGACAGUAGAAAAACAGAAGGAGAAAUCCCAGUUCAUAGAGGAAGAAGAAAAUGCAAUCAAUGCUGUCUAGAGUCCCACUUAAGCUCAGCCACAGGGUACUAAGUCUCUUCAGGGAAAAGCAACUGGUGUCCAUCAUCUGAAAAACUGUGGCCUGGAACCAUGGGCACCGAGAGUGCACACUGCCCACUAGAGUUCCAUGCCUACAUCACGGAGAGAUAGAAUAGUCUCAAAGGAUUCUUAAGAGUAAUGUUGGGACCAAAAGGAGAUGAAUCCACAGCCUCUGCCUUACCGUCUGAUCUAACUAAUAGUAUUUCCAGACCUUUCUGUGGGCUGCGCCAGGGGUUGUUCAGAAAGGAAAAAAGUUGUUAAUGUCCCACCGUUUCCCGUAGCUUCCGAGGUCUGUGUUGUUCACUCCCUAGGUUCCAGGUUGUUUUCCCACUACUUCCACAGAAUCAGUGUGUCUCAUUCCUGUACCUAUAAUUUCAUCUUUAUUCUAGUCGCCCUCUACUUUUUCCUAGACAUUUUAUCUAGUAGAGCCAGGUAAAAUAGAGACAAGAAUAUUUACAUAAAUCUUAGCUGGAACUAAGUUGGAGUCCCAUAACUGCUACUAGGCUGAGAUGCAACUCAGAGGAUACAAAAGCCAGGCUUGCCUAGAAUUGCAGUUAUGGGAAAGAAAGUCACAUUUCACCCAGGAAUUAUUAGCACGAAAUUCCAAGUUUGUGAAAUAGAUUCCUAGAUCCCCCAAACAUUUCAUCCUUAUCUUGGAGGCAAUCAGGAAGAGAUAAUAAACCAUACCUAAUCAACAAAUUAUCUAACCAACAUGUGUGGAAAAGGAGGGAACAUCAUAGAGUUGGCUCGUUUUAGUACAUGUGGUCAAAAAUGCCACGAAGUCAGAGCUCAAUUGGUCUCAAAAGCCUAAAAGAUGGCACAGAUUAGCUUCAAGGGACACAUGGUAUGGAUGGAGUCGGCUUACUGUUAUGCUGAAGAUGUCCAGAGUGGUGACUGAUAUCUCAAGAAGUGGGCCAAAAGUCCACUUCUGGUUAUUCUGCUAGGUAUGGUCCAGGAAUUGUUCAACCACGAGACAAGUAGGUCAACUUUCACCAGCAUCCCCAAAUCUGGCUUGCAGUAUUAGACUCUGCGUUAGACACAGAUUUAGCUUCAAUCUGCAGCUUGAUUGUUGUCACUCUCUAGAAAACAAACCCUUACCGUGGACUUCUAGAGGAGUGAUCCAGUUAGAUCAGCAUCUGAGAUUGUUUCCGGUUUGCAGCCCAAAAGACAUUCAGACAGUCUACAGUUUCCAUUGUAGACAACCAAACAUAUAGAAUAUGUGCAAUUACCCCAAACCCUGAGUUCUGACCUUUGAGAGGAGCAACCACUCAUGUCAGGUUCCGUAUGGCUGGCACAGAUUAAACAGCCACAGCGGCCCAGUGGACAUCAUGAGGUUUCACCUUCCCUGACUCAUCUAUGGACCAGGACCAGUCAUAUAGGAAAUACCCAGUAAAUUGGGGGCCCCACAGGGACAGCAGCUUUGCUUCAGAGGAUAAAAGGAGGCAUAAAAUUUCUACCAGCUGGGGAUGCUCUAGCCCUCUAUGGGUGAAACUGAGUUUGGCAGGGGUUCUGCAGCAAGCUCUUAGCUGACUUUCAAAUCAGUGUAACCAGUAGUGUGUCACUGAGUCCAAAAGCCCAAAGAACACCUCUAGGAGGAGGCUAGUCCUUUACUGGAGGUUCCAAAUGCCAAAAUCAACAUUUUCUUGACCUCAGGAUGAAUUGAUCAAUGCAAAUCUCCCCAAAUAUUUUCACUAAACCUAAAUUGGAAAGUGAGACUCCAGAUUUUUUAACCCUCACUAAAAAUAAAUAUCUGAUUUUUUCAACUGGGAUCUAUGUAUGUGUCUUGGAGCAUGCCUUUACCAAUCAGCAUAAAGUUACAACUCUCCUUGCGCCUCUACUUUCUACUUGUGCAGAGUUUAAAAUGCAGAGGUGAGAGCUUAGGGUUUUCUGGGUCUUUUGCUAAGCAUGUACCUGACCCUGAGCAUCCCCAUUUCCCCAUUUCAUUCUUGACCCCGAAGACCAUUAUCACAGUCCUAAUUCCCAGCAGCUUUUCCUCCUAGAGCAUUUUGGCACGAUUCUUCUUAGACCCAACUGAUAUCCCUUGUUCCUCGUAGACUGCGUAGUUCAUUUCCAUUUAAAUGCUUGUACAAACAUUAAGCCAUUGAUUUAAG